Molecule: ribosomal RNA, 425 nt
Filed under: uncultured bacterium
Lineage: Bacteria
Description: bacterial SSU rRNA
Rfam family: Bacterial small subunit ribosomal RNA
Source: RNAcentral
CCAGCAGCCGCGGUAAUACGGAGGGUGCGAGCGUUGUCCGGAAUCACUGGGCGUAAAGGGCGCGUAGGCGGCGCGGGAAGUCAUCGGUGAAAGUUCAGGGCUCAACUCUGAAUCGGCCGGUGAUACUCUCGUGCUCGAGCACUGUAGAGGCAGGUGGAAUUCCGGGUGUAGCGGUGGAAUGCGUAGAGAUCCGGAAGAACACCGGUGGCGAAGGCGGCCUGCUGGGCAGUAGCUGACGCUGAUGCGCGACAGCGUGGGGAGCAAACAGGAUUAGAUACCCUGGUAGUCCACGCCGUAAACGAUGGGCACUAGGUGCUUGGGGGAGCGACCCCCUGAGUGCCGGCGCUAACGCAUUAAGUGCCCCGCCUGGGGAGUACGGCCGCAAGGCUGAAACUCAAAGGAAUUGACGGGGGCCCGCACAAGGC